GUUAAUAAGGUAUGCAACAUGUAUUAUAGCAUAAGCCCAAUAUUGUGUAGGAAUAUGAGAUUGAAAUAAAAGAGACCUAGCUACACUGAGGAUGUGUUGGUGCUUUCAUUCUACUAAACCAUUCUAGGGUGUUUCUACACAAGAAGUCUAGUGCAUAAGGCCUUUGGCAGCAUAAAAGACUGGCAUAUCAAACUCAAUGCCAUUAUCACUUCUAAGGACCUGUAUUUUCACAAAGAACUAUGUUUCAAUGAAAGUGUAAAAAGAUUGUAUCAUGGAUUUGGUUUGAGACUUAGUUUGCAUUAAGAAAAUUCAAGUAUGCCUUGUAAAAUCAUCCAUAAUAGUUAAGAAAAAUCUAUGAUUAUGUA
This 365-nucleotide unclassified non-coding RNA is filed under the name Hevea brasiliensis (rubber tree). The record is from RNAcentral. Lineage: Eukaryota; Viridiplantae; Streptophyta; Magnoliopsida; Malpighiales; Euphorbiaceae.